GCAGCCGCGGUAAUACGGAAGGUCCGGGCGUUAUCCGGAUUUAUUGGGUUUAAAGGGAGCGUAGGUGGACUGUCAAGUCAGUUGUGAAAUCCGCGGGCUCAACCUGCGGCCUGCAGUUGAAACUGGCGGUCUUGAGUCCGUUCAGGGAUGCUGGAAUUCAUGGUGUAGCGGUGAAAUGCUCAGAUAUCAUGAAGAACUCCAAUCGCGAAGGCAGGCAUCCGGGCCGGAACUGACACUGAGGCUCGAAAGUGCGGGUAUCAAACAGGAUUAGAUACCCC
RNAcentral lists this ribosomal RNA (278 nucleotides) under uncultured Alloprevotella sp. RNAcentral describes it as "partial 16S ribosomal RNA". It matches the Rfam family "Bacterial small subunit ribosomal RNA", at positions 511 to 788 of the family's 1533-position model. Lineage: Bacteria; Pseudomonadati; Bacteroidota; Bacteroidia; Bacteroidales; Prevotellaceae. The record is from RNAcentral.